This 69-nucleotide transfer RNA is filed under the name Paralichthys lethostigma (southern flounder). RNAcentral describes it as "tRNA-Glu". It matches the Rfam family "tRNA". From Rfam's summary of the family: Transfer RNA (tRNA) molecules are approximately 80 nucleotides in length. Their secondary structure includes four short double-helical elements and three loops (D, anti-codon, and T loops). RNAcentral also lists the same sequence under 1 other name. Lineage: Eukaryota; Metazoa; Chordata; Actinopteri; Pleuronectiformes; Paralichthyidae. The record is from RNAcentral.
GUUCUUGUAGUUGAAUUACAACAACGGCUUUUCAAGCCGUGGGUCUGGGUGGAAGUCCUGGCGGGAACU